ACGGGUGCGUAACGCGUAUGCAAUCUACCUUUUACAGAGGGAUAGCCCAGAGAAAUUUGGAUUAAUACCUCAUAGUAUAGUGAGUUGGCAUCAACACACUAUUAAAGUCACAACGGUAAAAGAUGAGCAUGCGUCCCAUUAGCUAGUUGGUAAGGUAACGGCUUACCAAGGCAACGAUGGGUAGGGGUCCUGAGAGGGAGAUCCCCCACACUGGUACUGAGACACGGACCAGACUCCUACGGGAGGCAGCAGUGAGGAAUAUUGGUCAAUGGGCGCAAGCCUGAACCAGCCAUGCCGCGUGCAGGAUGACGGUCCUAUGGAUUGUAAACUGCUUUUGCACAGGAAGAAACACUCGGUCGUGACCGAGCUUGACGGUACUGUGAGAAUAAGGAUCGGCUAACUCCGUGCCAGCAGCCGCGGUAAUACGGAGGAUCCAAGCGUUAUCCGGAAUCAUUGGGUUUAAAGGGUCCGUAGGCGGCCAGAUAAGUCAGUGGUGAAAGCCCAUCGCUCAACGAUGGAACGGCCAUUGAUACUGUUUGGCUUGAAUUAUUUGGAAGUAACUAGAAUAUGUAGUGUAGCGGUGAAAUGCUUAGAGAUUACAUGGAAUACCAAUUGCGAAGGCAGGUUACUACAAAUUGAUUGACGCUGAUGGACGAAAGCGUGGGUAGCGAACAGGAUUAGAUACCCUGGUAGUCCACGCCGUAAACGAUGGAUACUAGCUGUUGGGAGCAAUCUCAGUGGCUAAGCGAAAGUGAUAAGUAUCCCACCUGGGGAGUACGUUCGCAAGAAUGAAACUCAAAGGAAUUGACGGGGGCCCGCACAAGCGGUGGAGCAUGUGGUUUAAUUCGAUGAUACGCGAGGAACCUUACCAAGGCUUAAAUGUAGAUUGACCGGUUUGGAAACAGACUUUUCGCAAGACAAUUUACAAGGUGCUGCAUGGUUGUCGUCAGCUCGUGCCGUGAGGUGUCAGGUUAAGUCCUAUAACGAGCGCAACCCCUGUUGUUAGUUGCCAGCGAGUCAUGUCGGGAACUCUAGCAAGACUGCCAGUGUAAACUGUGAGGAAGGUGGGGAUGACGUCAAAUCAUCACGGCCCUUACGCCUUGGGCUACACACGUGCUACAAUGGCCGGUACAGAGAGCAGCCACUACGCAAGUAGGAGCGAAUCUACAAAACCGGUCUCAGUUCGGAUCGGAGU
Molecule: ribosomal RNA, 1195 nt
Filed under: Flavobacterium psychrophilum
Lineage: Bacteria; Pseudomonadati; Bacteroidota; Flavobacteriia; Flavobacteriales; Flavobacteriaceae
Description: bacterial SSU rRNA
Rfam family: Bacterial small subunit ribosomal RNA
Source: RNAcentral